Molecule: ribosomal RNA, 638 nt
Filed under: uncultured marine bacterium
Lineage: Bacteria
Description: bacterial SSU rRNA
Rfam family: Bacterial small subunit ribosomal RNA
Source: RNAcentral
AGAGUUUGAUCAUGGCUCAGGACGAACGCUGGCGGCGUGCCUAAUACAUGCAAGUCGAGCGAAUCGAUGGGAGCUUGCUCCCUGAGAUUAGCGGCGGACGGGUGAGUAACACGUGGGCAACCUGCCUAUAAGACUGGGAUAACUUCGGGAAACCGGAGCUAAUACCGGAUACGUUCUUUUCUCGCAUGAGAGAAGAUGGAAAGACGGUUUACGCUGUCACUUAUAGAUGGGCCCGCGGCGCAUUAGCUAGUUGGUGAGGUAAUGGCUCACCAAGGCGACGAUGCGUAGCCGACCUGAGAGGGUGAUCGGCCACACUGGGACUUAGACACGGCCCAGACUCCUACGGGAGGCAGCAGUAGGGAAUCUUCCGCAAUGGACGAAAGUCUGACGGAGCAACGCCGCGUGAACGAAGAAGGCCUUCGGGUCGUAAAGUUUUGUUGUUAGGGAAGAACAAGUACCAGAGUAACUGCUGGUACCUUGACGGUACCUAACCAGAAAGCCACGGCUAACUACGUGCCAGCAGCCGCGGUAAUACGUAGGUGGCAAGCGUUGUCCGGAAUUAUUGGGCGUAAAGCGCGCGCAGGUGGUUCCUUAAGUCUGAUGUGAAAGCCCACGGGCUCAACCGUGGAGGGUCAUUU